This 505-nucleotide ribosomal RNA is filed under the name uncultured Campylobacterota bacterium. RNAcentral describes it as "bacterial SSU rRNA". It matches the Rfam family "Bacterial small subunit ribosomal RNA", at positions 8 to 524 of the family's 1533-position model. Lineage: Bacteria; Pseudomonadati; Campylobacterota. The record is from RNAcentral.
AGAGUUUGAUCAUGGCUCAGAGUGAACGCUGGCGGCGUGCUUAACACAUGCAAGUCGAACGAGAACGGAUUAUAGCUUGCUAUAAUUGUCAGCUAAGUGGCGCACGGGUGAGUAAUGUAUAGGUAAUAUGCCUCUUACUAAGGGAUAACAAAUGGAAACGUUUGCUAAUACCUUAUACUCCUUAUUAACAGAAGUUAAUAAGGGAAAGAUUUAUUGGUAAGAGAUUAGCCUGUAUUGUAUCAGUUAGUUGGUGGGGUAAUGGCUUACCAAGACUAUGACACAUAACUGGUUUGAGAGGAUGAUCAGUCACACUGGAACUGAGACACGGUCCAGACUCCUACGGGAGGCAGCAGUGGGGAAUAUUGCACAAUGGACGAAAGUCUGAUGCAGCAACGCCGCGUGGAGGAUGACACAUUUCGGUGCGUAAACUCCUUUUAUAUGAGAAGAUAAUGACGGUAUUAUAUGAAUAAGCACCGGCUAACUCCGUGCCAGCAGCCGCGGUAAU